This 497-nucleotide ribosomal RNA is filed under the name uncultured bacterium. RNAcentral describes it as "partial 16S ribosomal RNA". It matches the Rfam family "Bacterial small subunit ribosomal RNA", at positions 28 to 507 of the family's 1533-position model. The record is from RNAcentral.
GAUGAACGCUGGCGGCGUGCCUAAUACAUGCAAGUCGAGCGAACAGACGAGGAGCUUGCUCCUCUGACGUUAGCGGCGGACGGGUGAGUAACACGUGGAUAACCUACCUAUAAGACUGGGAUAACUUCGGGAAACCGGAGCUAAUACCGGAUAAUAUAUUGAACCGCAUGGUUCAAUAGUGAAAGACGGUUUUGCCGUCACUUAUAGAUGGAUCCGCGCCGCAUUAGCUAGUUGGUAAGGUAACGGCUUACCAAGGCAACGAUGCGUAGCCGACCUGAGAGGGUGAUCGGCCACACUGGAACUGAGACACGGUCCAGACUCCUACGGGAGGCAGCAGUAGGGAAUCUUCCGCAAUGGGCGAAAGCCUGACGGAGCAACGCCGCGUGAGUGAUGAAGGUCUUCGGAUCGUAAAACUCUGUUAUUAGGGAAGAACAAAUGUGUAAGUAUCUAUGCACGUCUUGACGGUACCUAAUCAGAAAGCCACGGCUAACUACGUG